Long non-coding RNA from Argentina anserina (silverweed cinquefoil), 1057 nucleotides. RefSeq lists it as uncharacterized. The transcript is spliced from 2 exons. Lineage: Eukaryota; Viridiplantae; Streptophyta; Magnoliopsida; Rosales; Rosaceae. The record is from RefSeq and is a predicted model, not a curated record.
CAAAUUUGAAUUCUCAGCUCUCUCUCUCUCUCUCUCUGAAAUUCAAAUUCAAAUUUGAGUUUCAAGUUUGGUUUCCUAGAGCCGCUACGGUCACCGCCGUGGUUCUUCACAAGAUACAUGCACGGCGGCGGCGGGUAUCGGAUGCUGGGUUUCAGAUGAUCAGUGGUUCGCCAAUUGAUCAUCAUUUAUGAGAUUUAAUCUCGAAUAGACAGUCUCGGUAAUUUUACAAGGUACGAUGAGAAACCCAGUAAUCUGAGAUAGAGAAAGAGAGACUUUCAUGAAAUUUCAAUAUAAAUAAUUGGUGCUCCCUCUUUAUUUAGGGGUUGAGGAACCAUGUUUGAUUGGGUUUCAUGCUGUCCAGGCCCCAAUUCGGAAUUAACAGUCCCAUGUAUUAUUGAUACAAAUUGACAAUUUUGUCACAGUUGCCAUCGGAAUUAAUACCCUUGUUUCGGAAAGAUAAGUCGGAAUUGGUCCCUAAGGUUGCCUAUGAUAUAUAUAGCAUUCUGCAAACAUGUUGCUAUACUCGGAAUUUCACCACUCAAGUGAUUUUUUUGCCCAACUUGAGUGAAUUUCCAACUACCAACUUGUUGAUGCAGUAGUUGGCGGAGGAUAAGGAAAUUGUUGCCUGUCGGUUUAUAUUGAUAAAUUUGUUGCCACUCAAGUGAUUUUUGCCCAACUUGAUGUGGCAGCAAACAACCCAUUGAGGUAAUAGUGCAAGAGGUACGACUGAGGUUUGUUGCCUUGUAAAUUUAUGUUGAUUUGAUUGUUGCCCCUUGAGUGAUUUUUGCCCAGACUGAGGUUUCAACAAAAACCACGUCCUUGCCUCAUAAGGAAAGGUUAGACAGUUGCUUUUAUGAUGCUAAUCGGAGGUUGCCUUGUCCUUGAGCAGUUAUUUUAUCUGGCAAGUAUGUCCUCAGCCAUUGUCCACUUCUAAUUAAUCUCUUUACUCAGGUACAUUUAUAGAUAAAUUCCCUUCCAAGCCAUCUGGAUGCCUUAUAGUACCUACAGUGAUAUGUUUAUGAAACCUGAGUAAAGAAAUUAUUUUGAUGGUGCAUGA